GACGAACGCUGGCGGCGUGCUUAAUACAUGCAAGUCGAACGGUAAGGCCCUGCUUUUGUGGGGUGCUCGAGUGGCGAACGGGUGUGUAACACGUGAGUAUCCUGUCCUUGACUUUGGGAUAACUUCAGGAAACUGGGGCUAAUAUAGGAUAGGAGCUCCUGCUGCACGGUGGGGGUUGGAAAGUGUCGGCGGUUGGGGAUGGACUCGCGGCUUAUCAGCUUGUUGGCGGGGUAGUGGCUUACCAAGGCUUUGACGGGUAGCCGGCCUGCGAGGGUGACCGGCCACAUUGGGACUGAGGUACGGGCCAGACGCCUACGGGAGGCAGCAGUGGGGAAUAUUGCACAAUGGGCGGAAGCCUGAUGCAGCAACUCCGCGUGCGGGAUGACGGCCUUCGGGUUGUAAACCGCUUUCGCCUGUGACGAAGCGUGAGUGACGGUAAUGUAUAAAGAAGCACCGGCUAACUACGUG
RNAcentral lists this ribosomal RNA (468 nucleotides) under uncultured bacterium. RNAcentral's name for it is "partial 16S ribosomal RNA". It matches the Rfam family "Bacterial small subunit ribosomal RNA", at positions 28 to 507 of the family's 1533-position model. The record is from RNAcentral.